RNAcentral lists this ribosomal RNA (253 nucleotides) under uncultured bacterium. RNAcentral's name for it is "partial 16S ribosomal RNA". It matches the Rfam family "Bacterial small subunit ribosomal RNA", at positions 524 to 776 of the family's 1533-position model. The record is from RNAcentral.
UACAGAGGUGGCAAGCGUUGUUCGGAUUUACUGGGCGUAAAGGGUGCGUAGGUGGUUGGGCAUGUCAGGUGUGAAAUCUCAUCGCUUAACGAUGAACGCGCAUUUGAAACUGCCCGACUGGAGUACGGGGGAGGAGAGUGGAAUUCUUGGUGUAGCGGUGAAAUGCGUAGAUAUCAAGAAGAACACCGGUGGCGAAGGCGACUCUCUAUCCUGAUACUGACACUGAGGCACGAAAGCUGGGGGAGCAAACAGG